RNAcentral lists this ribosomal RNA (241 nucleotides) under uncultured bacterium. Its description in RNAcentral is "partial small subunit ribosomal RNA". It matches the Rfam family "Bacterial small subunit ribosomal RNA", at positions 26 to 285 of the family's 1533-position model. The record is from RNAcentral.
AGGAUGAACGCUGGCGGCGUGCCUAAUACAUGCAAGUCGAGCGGUAAGGCCACUUCGGUGGUACACGAGCGGCGGACGGCUGAGUAACACGUAGGAACGUACCCCAAAGUGAGGCAUAAGCACCAGAAAUGGUGUCUAAUACCGCAUGUGAUCUUCGGAUUAAAGCUUCGGCGCUUUGGGAACGGCCUGCGCAUGAUUAGCUUGUUGGUGAGGUAACGGCCCACCAAGGCGACGACGGGUA